AAGUCGUAACAAGGUUUCCGUAGGUGAACUGCGGAAGGAUCAUUACCGAGUGUAGGGUUCCUAGCGAGCCCAACCUCCCACCCGUGUUUACUGUACCUUAGUUGCUUCGGCGGGCCCGCCAUUCAUGGCCGCCGGGGGCUCUCAGCCCCGGGCCCGCGCCCGCCGGAGACACCACGAACUCUGUCUGAUCUAGUGAAGUCUGAGUUGAUUGUAUCGCAAUCAGUUAAAACUUUCAACAAUGGAUCUCUUGGUUCCGGCAUCGAUGAAGAACGCAGCGAAAUGCGAUAACUAGUGUGAAUUGCAGAAUUCCGUGAAUCAUCGAGUCUUUGAACGCACAUUGCGCCCCCUGGUAUUCCGGGGGGCAUGCCUGUCCGAGCGUCAUUGCUGCCCAUCAAGCACGGCUUGUGUGUUGGGUCGUCGUCCCCUCUCCGGGGGGGACGGGCCCCAAAGGCAGCGGCGGCACCGCGUCCGAUCCUCGAGCGUAUGGGGCUUUGUCACCCGCUCUGUAGGCCCGGCCGGCGCUUGCCGAACGCAAAUCAAUCUUUUCCAGUUGACCUCGGAUCAGGUAGGGAUACCCGCUGAACUUAAGCAUAUCAA
RNAcentral lists this ribosomal RNA (597 nucleotides) under Aspergillus flavus. Its description in RNAcentral is "eukaryotic LSU rRNA". The stretch from base 228 to 381 matches the Rfam family "5.8S ribosomal RNA". Lineage: Eukaryota; Fungi; Ascomycota; Eurotiomycetes; Eurotiales; Aspergillaceae. The record is from RNAcentral.